AAAGUCUAAAACCCCUCAUUUCCAUUCUAAAAUCUCAGCCCAGUCUGGAGUCUUCCCCCCCUCUUUUAACUUGCUAGUUGCUACCCUGGCUAACCUUCUCUCUCAGCCAUCGCCGGCGACGGUUAGUCUAUACAAGCUCAACAUUAGACAAAUACGUAAGCUUUCUUCAUAUUCUCCGGUCGACUUUCUCAUCCCCUUAAAUUAGUGAAGUGCUGAUUGCCGUAUAAUGCAACUCUGGUUCUCUCUGUGAAGACGCAAACAUAAUGGCCUGUCGAGCUCUUUUAAGGAGAAGGAAUGUUAUUUCUGACUAUUUGGAGGCUUCUGCUUGGUCAAUUCAAAAUUUUCAAAAGUUCAGUUCUAAUCAGUCUACUCGUUAUUCUGGAGGUUUCACCUCUGUUGGAAACCAUAUUUCUCAAUGUUCAGAUCGUGUAGAAGAUCAUGGAGAAGUUUCAAGCUUUUCAACAUCAGGACUUUUAUGGCAUAGAUCUGGUGGAAUCACAUUACAUGGCCAUGGAAAUGUUGGAAUCACAAUGCCCGUAAGAUUGGGUCUCAUCUCACCAUUGGGACACACGUUGCUGCCUUACACUGUACGUUAUUCUUCAACAGCAACUGCAAAACAACCUGAUAGUGGAAGUGAUGAUGAAGAUAAUGAUCUGGUUGCCAAAAAGAAAGAAGCUUCUCCAGAGGAAUGCGAUCAAGCUGUUGAAGGGCUAAGUUUUGCUAAAGCAAAAGCAAAACAGUUCCAAGAGUCUCAGAAGGUUGCUAAAUCUGUUUUACAAAGAGUAUGGGCUACACUUUUGGGUAUUGGUCCCGCUUUACAAGCUGUAGCUUCCAUGAGCAGGGAAGACUGGGCCAAAAAGCUCACUCAUUGGAAAAAGGAGUUUAUAUCCACACUGCAGCAUUAUUGGUUGGGUUCUAAGCUUUUAUGGGCUGAUGUGAGGAUCAGUUCAAGAUUAUUGCGAAAACUUGCCAAUGGGAAGAGUCUGUCUCGCAGGGAGAGGCAACAACUCACACGGACUACAGCUGAUAUUUUCAGGCUGGUUCCUUUUGCUGUUUUCAUCAUUGUCCCAUUCAUGGAAUUCCUGCUGCCAGUAUUCUUGAAGUUAUUUCCAAACAUGUUACCAUCAACGUUUCAAGACAAGAUGAAAGAACAGGAAGCAUUGAAAAGGAGGUUAAAUGCGAGGAUAGGAUAUGCGAAGUUUCUUCAGGACACUGUCAGAGAAAUGGCAAAAGAAGUCCAAAAUUCUAGGAGUGGAGAAGUAAAGAAAACAGCAGAAGAUCUUGAUGAGUUCCUGAGCAGGGCUAGAAGAGGUGCUCCCAUGUCAAAUGAGGAAAUUUUGGGUUUCGCUAAAUUGUUCAAUGAUGAAUUGACGCUGGAUAAUAUUAGCAGGCCUCGAUUAGUAAGUAUGUGCAAGUACAUGGGAAUCGGUCCUUUUGGAACAGAUGCUUAUUUGCGCUUUAUGCUUCGAAAAAGAUUACAAAGGAUUAAGAAUGAUGAUAAGUUGAUUCAAGCUGAGGGUGUGGAGUCUCUAUCAGAGGCUGAACUUCGUGAGGAAUGUAGAGAGCGUGGCAUGCUCGGGUUGCGUUCAGUGGAAGACAUGCGCCAACAGCUUCGUGAUUGGUUGGAUUUGUCACUUAAUCACUCAAUACCAUCUUCACUGUUGAUCCUUUCCAGGGCUUUCAUUGUGUCUGGAAGGUCCAAGAUUGAAGAGGCUGUAGGAGCGACAUUGUCUUCACUUCCAGAUGAGGUUGUUGACACUGUGGGUAUCACAUCCUUGCCAUCUGAAGAUUCUGUUUCAGAAAGGAGGAGGAAAUUGGAGUACCUUGCUAUGCAGGAUGAGCUGAUCAGGGAGGAGGAAAAGAAAGAGAAAGAGAAAGAACAGCAAGCCAAGAAGAAAGAACCUCUUGGCAAUGAAGAUGUAGCUUUGAAAGAGAUGAUUAUCCCAACAGCUAGAGAAGCACAAGAACAAGCAAGAGCAAGAGCACUUGACAAACAAGAGCAUCUAUGCGAAAUUAGCCGAGCCUUGGCUGUUCUGGCUUCUGCUUCUUCUGUGAGCAGGGAGCGGGAAGAGUUCCUAAGGCUUGUUAACAAGGAGAUAGAACUUUACAAUAGCAUGGUAGAUAAAGAAGGUACUGAUAGUGAAGUAGAUGCCAUGAAAGCAUAUAAAGCUGCUCAUGGAGAAAAUGAUCAAAUGUCUGAAGUUACUGCGCAUGAUGUGGUGUCUUCUGCACUCGUAGAUAAGGUCGAUGCAAUGCUUCAGAACCUUGAGAAGGAAAUUGAUGACGUGGAUGCAAAAAUUGGUGACCGUUGGCAAAUCCUUGACAGGGACUAUGAUGGAAAAGUGACUCCUGAGGAGGUGGCAGCUGCAGCCAAGUACUUGAAGAGAACUUUGGGCAAGGAAGGGGUUCAAGAACUGAUUACCAACCUCUCCAAAGAUAAAGAUGGGAAAAUUCUUGUCGAAGACAUAGUAAAAUUGGGCAGUCGUGUAGAAGAGGGCAUGUAGCGAAUGAAGAUCAACACUCCAUUUUACUUUCAAAUACGGAGAAACAAAAUAUUGCACAUUUUACUGGGCUGCAACAAUCAUUUACUUAGGUUUCUGGCUACUUAUCACCUGAGGUUGUGGUUCAACUUCUAACCACAUAUAUUUUGUUAGGUAUAGAGAUUCUAUUUUCUUCAGUUUCAUAUAUAUCAAAAAACCCUUCACAGAAAUAGAUUGCUACGAGGUGAAAAACCUAGUGCAGAGUACUAUGUUGAUAGGAAUGUAAAAAGAACGAGUCCUUAGAGUAUAGUAAGGCUAGGGUAUUUAUUUUUAUUUUUAUUUUUAUUUUUAUUUUUGUAUCAGAAACAGUUAUUCUUUAUUGCAUAAUGGCAUUUUAGACAAUGACAUAAUUUCAUAGGAAUUGAAGUUUGAA
Molecule: RNA transcript, 2913 nt
Organism: Ipomoea nil (Japanese morning glory)
Lineage: Eukaryota; Viridiplantae; Streptophyta; Magnoliopsida; Solanales; Convolvulaceae
Gene name: LETM1 and EF-hand domain-containing protein 1, mitochondrial
Exons: 16
Source: RefSeq, a predicted model, not a curated record